AGAACUUUCCAGAGAUGGAUUGGUGCCUUCGGGAACUCUGAGACAGGUGCUGCAUGGCUGUCGUCAGCUCGUGUUGUGAAAUGUUGGGUUUAAGUCCCGCAACGAGCGCAACCCUUAUCCUUUGUUGCCAGCGGUUAGGCCGGGAACUCGAAGGAGACUGCCAGUGAUAAACUGGAGGAAGGUGGGGAUGACGUCAAGUCAUCAUGGCCCUUACGAGUAGGGCUACACACGUGCUACAAUGGCGCAUACAAAGAGAAGCGACCUCGCGAGAGCAAGCGGACCUCAUAAAGUGCGUCGUAGUCCGGAUUGGAGUCUGCAACUCGACUCCAUGAAGUCGGAAUCGCUAGUAAUCGUGGAUCAGAAUGCCACGGUGAAUACGUUCCCGGGCCUUGUACACACCGCCCGUCACACCAUGGGGAGUGGGUUGCAAAAGAAGUAGGUAGCUUAACCUUCGGGAGGGCGCUUACCACUUUGUGAUUCAUGACUGGGGUGAAGUCGUAACAAGGUAGGCGUAGUGCU
This 519-nucleotide ribosomal RNA is filed under the name uncultured bacterium. Its description in RNAcentral is "bacterial SSU rRNA". It matches the Rfam family "Bacterial small subunit ribosomal RNA", at positions 992 to 1509 of the family's 1533-position model. The record is from RNAcentral.